AGAGUUUGAUCCUGGCUCAGAUUGAACGCUGGCGGCAUGCCUAACACAUGCAAGUCGAACGGUAACAGGUCUUCGGAUGCUGACGAGUGGCGGACGGGUGAGUAACGCGUAGGAAUCUGUCUUUGAGUGGGGGACAACCCAGGGAAACUUGGGCUAAUACCGCAUAAGCCCUGAGGGGGAAAGCGGGGGAUCUUCGGACCUCGCGCUGGAAGAGGAGCCUACGUCUGAUUAGCUAGUUGGUAGGGUAAAGGCCUACCAAGGCGACGAUCGGUAGCUGGUCUGAGAGGACGACCAGCCACACUGGGACUGAGACACGGCCCAGACUCCUACGGGAGGCAGCAGUGGGGAAUUUUUCGCAAUGGGGGCAACCCUGACGAAGCAAUGCCGCGUGAAUGAAGAAGGCCUUCGGGUUGUAAAGUUCUUUCGUGGAGGACGAAAAGGUGGGUGCUAAUAUCGCCUGCUGUUGACGUGAAUCCAAGAAGAAGCACCGGCUAACUCCGUGCCAGCAGCCGCGGUAAUACGGGGGGUGCAAGCGUUAAUCGGAAUCACUGGGCGUAAAGGGUGCGUAGGCGGUGCAUUAGGUCUGUCGUGAAAUCCCCGGGCUCAACCUGGGAAUGGCGGUGGAAACCGGUGUACUAGAGUAUGGGAGAGGGUGGUGGAAUUCCAGGUGUAGCGGUGAAAUGCGUAGAGAUCUGGAGGAACAUCAGUGGCGAAGGCGGCCACCUGGCCCAAUACUGACGCUGAGGCACGAAAGCGUGGGGGAGCAAACAGGAUUAGAUACCCUGGUAGUCCACGCCCUAAACGAUGAAUACUAGAUGUUUGGUGCCAAGCGUACUGAGUGUCGUAGCUAACGCGAUAAGUAUUC
This 865-nucleotide ribosomal RNA is filed under the name uncultured bacterium. RNAcentral's name for it is "bacterial SSU rRNA". It matches the Rfam family "Bacterial small subunit ribosomal RNA", at positions 8 to 869 of the family's 1533-position model. The record is from RNAcentral.